Molecule: long non-coding RNA, 1258 nt
Organism: Oreochromis aureus
Lineage: Eukaryota; Metazoa; Chordata; Actinopteri; Cichliformes; Cichlidae
Source: Ensembl
CUUCUUUCAUUUUUAUUUUAUUAAGAUAUCAUAUUAUACAAAAUAGUACUUUAUUCUAUGUAUGACAUCAGUACAAUCUAAUAUUAUUUGACACCGUUGUCAUCAUCGAGGUUUGAUCGUGACUUACGUCGUCAGUAUCAACGUGGAUGAUUGCAUCAUCUUCAUUAACCACAGCCAUGUUGUCAGCCCUGUUAAAGGUGGAUCCUUGUUGGUUACCGUUGCUGACGUGUCGAUUAAAGUUGCUCCAAAUCCACGCGCUGCCUCUAAAUGCUCCACUGAGCAGCUUCUCGACGAGGGUUUCUCCAUCGAUUUUAACACAUUGAAGAAAACAAAGAAGCUGAAGAGGAAAGCCCAUAACAAACACCGUGAUGACAUCACAUCCGGCCAUACCUCAACCCAAGAGUGGAUUCUGUCUCGGAAAGAGAACUGCCUGUUUUGGACUGUUGAAGUGAGAGAGGACAACGGAGUGGGAGCAGGAGAAAAUCUGAUAGGAAUUCUUCUAUUGGAGAUGUGGAUUUGGAUUCAAAAGUGCUGGACAUUCAGCGUCAUCACCCAAAUGCCGACUGCAGAAUGAUGAUGGGACAUCUACGAUCCAGAGGCAUAUACAUUCAAAAACCAACUGAUUCUGCAGCAGAGCAUCCCCUGUUGCUUCUCCUGGCUCCCCAGUCCCUGAGCUCCUGCUGCUGCACCCACAGGCCCACAGAGGAGGACAGCUCCAAGGCGGACCAGGGACAGGUCCCAGGACAGUCCAUCGGCGGUGGAGCUGGCCAUCCUGGAGUCCCUGAAGAGGCCACGCUAGUCUCCAACGGAGCAUUUCCUCGUCAGCCUUGUUCCUGCUCUGGAGAGCAUGCUGCCUCAGACGAGAGUAUUAGUGAAAUUUCAAAUUUAUAAAUUCGUUUUUGAAAACAGCACAGCUGUGUUAAAUUUGGAAACAUUGGACCCAAAUAAUCAGUAGUUUUCUGAUGAGGCAGCAGACUCUCCAGGGCAGAAACAAUGUUCUUAUUUUUCUCCUCCUUCUCCCUGAGGCUCUUCCACUUUAAGCUGGGUCCUUUUUAUUCCUGUCCCUCUGUAAAUAGUUAUAUUUUAUAUAUUUAUGUUUUUCUGUUUGAGAAUUUUAAUAUUAUUUCAAAUAAAUUUUUGUAAUGACUAAUGUCUCAGUUCCACUACACAGCAGAUAUUGGCACACAACUUGGCCAAUUUCAUAUUAUAGAAUAGAAUAAUCCUUUAAUUGUCCCACAAGGGGAAAUUUGGUUGUAAC